GCGUGCUCGAAAAUGUUAAAGUUCUUAUUUCAUGGUAUAACUUUGGUAUGCUUGGACCUAGAGUCUUCAAACUUGACAUGAAGGUUGGCCAGGAUUAACAGAUGACCACUGGUCAUUUCAAGGUCAUUCAUUUGAAGGUCAAGGUCACUGUUACCUUCAAUAUAAAAAAUGUUAAAGUUGUUAUAACUUUGGUAUGCUUGGACCUAGAGUCUUGAAACUUGACAUGAAGGUUGGCCAUAACUAGUUAGUAACCACUGGUCAUUUCAAGGUCAUUCAUUUGAAGGUCAAGGUCACUGUGACCUUGAAUGUAAAAAUGUUAAAGUUCUUAUUUCAUGUUAUAACUUUGGUAUGCUUGUACCUAGAGUCUUCAAACUUGAAAUAAAGAUUGGCCAGUACUAGAAGAUGACCACUGGUCAUUUCAAUGUCAUUCAUUUGAAGGUCAAGGUCACUGUGACCUUAAAUGUUAAAAUGUUAAAAUUGUUAUAACUUUGGUAUGCUUGGACAUAGAGUCUUCAAACUUGACAUGAAGGUUUGCAAGCACACUUAGAUGACCACUGGUCAUUUCAAGGUCAUUCAUUCUAAGGUCAAGGUCACUGUGACCUUGAAUGUAAAAAUGUUAAAGUUCUUAUAACUUUGGUAGGUAAAAAUGUUAAAGUUCUUAUUCCAUGUUAUAACUUUGGUAUGCUUGUACCUAGAGUCUUCAAACUUGACAUAAAGGUUGGCCAGUACUAGAAGAUCACCACUGCUCAUUUCAAUGUCAUUCAUUUGAAGGUCAAGGUCACUGUGACCUUCAAUGUUAAAAUGUUAAAAUUGUUAUAACUUUGGUAUGCUUGGACCUAGAAUCUCAAACUUGACGUAAAGGUUUGCAAGCACACUUAGAUGACCACUGGUCAUUUCAAGGUCAUUCAUUUCAAUGUCAUUCAUUUGAAGGUCAAGGUCACUGUGAACUUAAAUGUUAAAAUGUUAAAAUUGUUGUAACUUUGGUAUGCUUGGACCUAGAAUCUCAAACUUGACGUAAAGGUUUGCAAGCACACUUAGAUGACCACUGGUCAUUUCAAGGUCAUUCAUUUGAAGGUCGAGGUCACUGUGACCUUGGAUGUAAAUAUGUUAAAGUUGUUAAUACUUUGGUAUGCUUAGACCUAGAGUCUUCAAACUUGAUAUGAAGGUUGGCCAGAACUAGUAGAUGACCACUGGUCAUUUUAAGGUCAAGGUCACCGUGACCUUGAAUGUAAAAAUGUUAAAAUUCUUUUUUCAUGGUAUAACUUUCUUAUGCUUGGACUUACAGUCUUCAAACUGGACAUGAAGGUUGGCCAGCACUAGUAGAUGACAAUUGGUCAUUUUAAGGUCAUUGAAGGUCAAGGUCACUGUGACCUUGAAUGUUAAAAAUUAAAAGUUGUUUUAACUUUCGUAUGCUUGGACAUGGACUUUGCCAUGACUAACAGAUGACCACUGGUCAAGAAAACAAUAAAUAGUAUUAUUUCAUCUAAGUUUAUUUUCUUACAUUUGAUAAUGAAAUUGAUGGAAACUUCAAACAAUAUGUUACUAAUUUGCUAAUAAAAAAAUUGAGAUCAAACUUUCCUAAUUGUCAAUUCAAGUUCAUAUUUGUGACCUUAAAUGUUAUUGUUGUUCAUGUAUAUGCAUGCAUUCAAAACAUAACACAAGGUUUGCUCAUGCCUUGAAAAGUACUUACAUUUCAUUUUGACCUUUGAACAAUAUUUCAGUAAUUUAAGUAUUGCAUUGACAAAAACACGAAAGGUACUUUCCUGUCAUUUAAAUCAAAAAUCCGGCUUCAAUGCGGUCAUCUCCGACCGCGGAACUCUUGUAUAAUGUAUUCAGCCUUGUUGCUUGAAAUUAGAUUUUAUAUAAAUAUAUGCAUAUAAAUAUAUAUAUAUUUAUAAUAUACAUGAUGGUGUUCUGAGAAAACUGGGCUUAAUGCAUGUGUGUAAAGUGUCAUCCCAGAUUAGCCUGUGCACAGGCUAAUCAGGGACGACACUUUCCCUUUUUAUGAUAUUUUUAGUUUCAAUGAAGUCCCUCCUUACCGAAAAUCAGUUCUAGGCGGAAAGUGUCGUGCCUGAUUAGCCUGUGCGGAGUGGAAACGCUGAUCUGGGAUGACACUUUAAGCACAUGCAUUAAGCCCAGUUUUCUCAGAACGCAACUCAUAUAUAUAUUUAUAUGCAUAUAUUUAUAUAACAUAUAUAUAAUAUAUAUAUAUAUAUAUAUAAGAAACACCCACUUAUUAUGAUUUGAUAAGGGGAAUUAAAUUCAAUUAGUAAUAACAAUGUGCUAUAACACUAUCACAGUUUUAUGAUAUUAUUUAAUUUUGCAAGAUUAUUUCUAAUAUUGUUAAAUUUAACAGUGUUUUAUGAAAUGUAAGUUUAUAUUGUUGUAAAAAAACUUAAGUGUCUACUAAAAUGUAUUAUAAAAUCCACAUUUUAAUUUAAUGUAUAUGUAAAAAUAGAACAUGAUCCGUUUGAUAUGGGAAUAACUUAUUGUGUUUUUCAUAACAUUAUUGAUAUGCUCAAAUUUGAAUAAAGACUUUAAAACUGCAUUUGAAGUACAGACCAGGGUUUAUUUCAGAAAAGAAAGUUAAGUUAUAAAGUUACUGCUUGUAUAUUGUUCUUUGUACAUUUUUGGUGUAGAAUCUGUUCACUCUGUCUUCUAUAUUAUGAAAUUUCUUUAAUAUGUAUUAUCAAAAUCCGAACUUAACAAAAGUGCUAAUGACAUGUGGAUGUUUGUAUAGAUGUCCUGUUAGAAAUAAGAUUGAAACUGACCAUGGGAAGUGUUAUAAAGAUGAUUUAAACACAAAAAAAACUGUUUUUUAUCGUUGUUUCUAUGGUAACCAUUGGGUAACCAUGGCUACAGAUCAAUCAAAUGUGUAUACGGUAUGAUUAUUGUCAAACAAAAUGUGUGACCAGUUAACAUGGCAAAGUGUGUAUUAAUUGGACAGUUAAAACCAAUGUAACAUGUAAUGCAAGUGAAGUAAGUCAAUUUAGCAUUAUCAGGUCUUUUUUUGGUGUAGAAUCUGUUCACUAUGUCCUAUAUUAUGACAUGUCUUUAAUAUGUAUUAUCAAUAUACGAACUUAACAUAAUUAUGAAUGCUAUGUGGAUGUAUAUAUAGAUGUCCUGUUAGAAAUCAGUUUGAAACUGACCAUAUGAAGUGUUAAAAAGAUGAUUUAAACACAAAAAACCUGGUUUUUAUCGUUGUUUCUAUGGUAACCAUGGCAACCGAUCAAUCAAAUGUGUAUAUGGUAUGAUUAUCGUCAAACAAAAUGUGUGACCAGUUCACAUGGCAAAUUGUGUAUUAAUUGGACAGUUAAAACCAAUUUAACAUGUAAUGCAAGUGAAGAAGGUACAUUUAGCAUAAUCAGACCUUUUUUGGUGUAGAAUCUGUUCACUAUGUCUUCUUUAUUAUGAAUUUUCUUUAAUAUGUAUUAUCAAUAUCCGAACUUAACAAAAGUACAAAUGAUAUGUGGAUGUAUAUGUUGAUGUCCCGUUAGAAAAAAGAUUGAAACUGACAAUUUAAAGUGUUAUAUAGAUGAUUAAAACACAAAAAACCUGGUUUUUAUCUUUGUUUCUAUGGUAACCAUGGCAACCGAUCAAUCAAAUGUGUAAACGGUAUGAUUAUCGUCAAACAAAAUGUGUGACCAGUUCACAUGGAAAAUUGUGUAUUAAUUGGACCAUUAAAACCAAUGUAACAUGUAAUGCAAGUGAAGUAGGUACAUUUAGCAUAAUCAAACCUUUUUUGGUGUAGAAUCUGUUUACUAUGUCUUCAUUAUUAUGAAAUUUCUUUAAUAUGUGUUUAUCAAUAUCCGAACUUAACAAAAGUACAAAUGAUAUGUGGAUGUAUAUGUAGAUUUCCCGUUAGAAAAAAGAUUGAAACUGACAAUUUAAAGUGUUAUAAAGAUGAUUAAAACACAAAAAACCUGGUUUUUAUCUUUGUUUCUAUGGUAACCAUGGCAACCGAUCAAUCAAAUGUGUAUACGGUAUGAUUAUCGUCAAACAAAAUGUGUGACCAGUUCACAUGGAAAAUUGUGUAUUAAUUGGACCGUUAAAACCAAUGUAACAUGUAAUGCAAGUGAAGUAGGUACAUUUAGCAUAAUCAGGCCUAAACAAGUCAGCAAUGGGAUAUAUAACCUCAUAAAACAAUUCAGCACAGGAAUUUUCUUCCAACAUGCAUUUGACUUAAACGAAAUUUAGUACCAACCGAUGAGCUUGUGUAAUAAAAAUUAAUAAAAACCAUUACAUUCCAAAAUACUAAAACACAAUCCGAAACAUGAAUCUGUCAGACGUUUCGUCUGAUACCCAUGAUUAUAUGUGAAUUGUGUUAUUUUAACAAUAAGUCUUAACGAAAUAGUAACGAGGAAGGUAUGUCUAAUCCUGGUAAUGUUUGGUCUGUUGUUUUUUCUUGUAUGCACUUAAAAAUAACGGGCAAUGAAAUUAAAUCAUUAACAUGUAUUAAAUGUUUAUUGUUAUUAUUUUUACGUUAUUACCUUGUUCUCGGUUGAGCUGAAAUGCCAAAAACUAAUUUACAGGUGAUAAACAAACAAAUGUGUAUAUAAACAAAUAUAUAUAUCUUGUAAUAAAUUGCCAUUUUACAAAACAA
Long non-coding RNA from Dreissena polymorpha, 4603 nucleotides. RefSeq lists it as uncharacterized. The transcript has 2 exons. Lineage: Eukaryota; Metazoa; Mollusca; Bivalvia; Myida; Dreissenidae. The record is from RefSeq and is a predicted model, not a curated record.